GGACACACCUGUGUGACAGAGCCCCCCGGGACCCCUGAGCCCCUCACACGGAACUUCAGCAGGGAGGAAACGCCUCGACAGGUGAUCUCCGGCUGCCGGGGGGUCCCGGGGGUCCCGGCCGGGGCUGACGGCGCUGCUGGUGCUGCUGCCCCUCGGGCUGGUGCUGGGCCUGGGGGUGGCAGCCAGGCGCUGUGGCAGGAGUGGCGCGGCGCAACACCAACAGCAUCAGCUUCAGCAACGCCACCUUCCGGAAAGGGCCCGGGACCCCCUGGAUGGGGGGGGGCUCGGGGACCCCCUGCGGCCGCUGACGUCAGAGG
This is a long non-coding RNA of Poecile atricapillus (Black-capped chickadee), 317 nucleotides long. RefSeq lists it as uncharacterized. The transcript is spliced from 5 exons. NCBI's taxonomy places the organism in Eukaryota, Metazoa, Chordata, Aves, Passeriformes, Paridae. The record is from RefSeq and is a predicted model, not a curated record.